CAUAGCUUCAUAAAUAAAACAUUCUGAAGUGCUCUAAUACUAAAUAAAUUGGAUACAUAAAACUACAGCACUGAGCACAUGGCAAU
This is a long non-coding RNA of Etheostoma spectabile (orangethroat darter), 86 nucleotides long. RefSeq lists it as uncharacterized. The transcript has 3 exons. The record is from RefSeq and is a predicted model, not a curated record. NCBI's taxonomy places the organism in Eukaryota, Metazoa, Chordata, Actinopteri, Perciformes, Percidae.